This is a long non-coding RNA of Erinaceus europaeus (western European hedgehog), 428 nucleotides long. RefSeq lists it as uncharacterized. The transcript has 3 exons. NCBI's taxonomy places the organism in Eukaryota, Metazoa, Chordata, Mammalia, Eulipotyphla, Erinaceidae. The record is from RefSeq and is a predicted model, not a curated record.
ACCCCUAGUGCAGAAUGGAAAAAAUGCACCUGUCUAGAAAUCAUCUUUUCACCUUAUUAUUAUUAUUAUUUUUUAAAUGAGAGUGAAUAAGAGAGAAAGAGAGAGGCCAGGGUACCACUUAGGUCUGACACGUGGCAGUGCCGGAGAUUGAACCUGGAGAAUCGGAGACACAGGCAUGGAAGCCUUAUGCUCUGAGGUGGGGACAGGGGACUCGAACCUGCAUCCUUGUGCCCUGUUACAUGUGCUCUCAACCAGCCUGGGAGUAUGGAUCGACCUGCCAAUGCCCAGGCCCAGCAGAGAAGCCAUUACAGAAGCCAGACCUCCCAUCUUCUGCACCCCAUAAUGACCCUGGGUCCAUAAGCCCAGUGUGAUAAAGAAUAGGAAAGCUUUCAAAGGAGGGAGUGGGAUGAAGAACUCUGGUGGUGGGA